UGCAAGUCGAACGAUGAAAUCCUCUGCUUGCAGAGGAUGGAUUAGUGGCGAACGGGUGAGUAACACGUGGGUAACCUGCCCAUAAGAGGGGGAUAACAUUCGGAAACGGAUGCUAAUACCGCAUAGGUCUUUGAGACGCCUGUCUCUUAGAUGAAAGGUGGCUUCGGCUGCCGCUUAUGGAUGGACCCGCGGCGUAUUAGCUAGUUGGUGAGGUAAUGGCUCACCAAGGCUGUGAUACGUAGCCGACCUGAGAGGGUGAUCGGCCACACUGGGACUGAGACACGGCCCAGACUCCUACGGGAGGCAGCAGUAGGGAAUCUUCCACAAUGGGUGAAAACCUGAUGGAGCAAUACCGCGUGAGUGAAGAAGGUCUUCGGAUCGUAAAGCUCUGUUGUUAGAGAAGAACAAGUCGGGUAGUAACUGCCCCGACCUUGACGGUAUCUAACCAGAAAGUCACGGCUAACUACGUGCCAGCAGCCGCGGUAAUACGUAGGUGACAAGCGUUGUCCGGAUUUAUUGGGCGUAAAGCGAGCGCAGGCGGUCUUUUAAGUCUGAUGUGAAAGCCCACGGCUCAACCGUGGAGGGUCAUUGGAAACUGGAAGACUUGAAUGCAGAAGAGGAAAGUGGAAUUCCAUGUGUAGCGGUGAAAUGCGUAGAUAUAUGGAGGAACACCAGUGGCGAAGGCGACUUUCUGGUCUGUAAUUGACGCUGAGGCUCGAAAGCGUGGGGAGCGAACAGGAUUAGAUACCCUGGUAGUCCACGCCGUAAACGAUGAGUGCUAAGUGUUGGAGGGUUUCCGCCCUUCAGUGCUGGAGCUAACGCAUUAAACACUCC
Molecule: ribosomal RNA, 834 nt
Filed under: Marinilactibacillus sp. CPA-48
Lineage: Bacteria; Bacillati; Bacillota; Bacilli; Lactobacillales; Carnobacteriaceae
Description: bacterial SSU rRNA
Rfam family: Bacterial small subunit ribosomal RNA
Source: RNAcentral